Molecule: long non-coding RNA, 1175 nt
Filed under: Monodelphis domestica (gray short-tailed opossum)
Lineage: Eukaryota; Metazoa; Chordata; Mammalia; Didelphimorphia; Didelphidae
Description: lncRNA (ENSMODG00000050989.1)
Source: RNAcentral
AUUCCAGGCAAUUCAGGGCCAAUCUUGGCGAAUUAUAUGCAAAUUUAAUGACAGAAAGAAAAGAAGAAACAUCAAUUGAAGGCAACUGCUUAACAAUUACAGCCCCUUUCCCUGCAAUCCCUCCGUCUGAGCUGGCUGGGGAGUCAGGGCUCAGGGCUCACAGCCUGGGAACUUCUGGCCAAAGGAAGCCAGCCAGGGAAAGCCCUGCCCUGGGUUGGGUCUUUGACCCCAUCUCCAAGAGAUUCUGCCGGUGAACGCAGCAUUCACAGCGGCGUGGUGGGGGAAGCUCCCCAUCCAUGGCCACCUUCCAGAGAUGAUCUGAGCUGGAAGAGAGACCCACAGCAGCUUCCCCGAAGCAGAAUAGCCCAUUUGACCUCCGGAAGCAGUCACAUCUGGCCCAAGGAGUCUGAGUUCUCGCCAGGAUGGAGGGAAGAGCCCGAGAAGCUGUUUCCAUAGGAACCUCGAACUCCCCUGAAUUCUGGAACACAUCAGGGAAGUGUUGCUUCCAAGGUGAUAGCUGACGAUGAGUAUUGCUUUCUUACAGUGAGACUAAGAUUAGCAGUAAGGGGAAUGAUUUUUUCUUAAAGGGGGAAUGGUAGUGCCUUUGGGAUUUAGAGAUGGGGGCAACUCUUCUUUUACCUGAGCCUCAAGAGCUGCCUGGAGUACAAACAAAGAGAUUAAGUCCUUCACCUAAGGUCCCACCAAUCAGUCCAUCAAAAGGCCCUACUAAGUGCCAGGCACUAGAGAAACAAAAAGAAAACGAAACAAUCCUUCCUCUCUUUUGUAAAAGACAGGACUUGGAUUUAGGUCUUCUGGACACCAAGGCUUCUGGAGGGUCAUUGGGAUGAUGGUGGUGGGAGUGACUUCAACAAAUGUUCAAGUGUCUGAAUCAUGCAGAAGACUCUGCCUAGGGAAAAUCCAAGUUUAGUCUUCAAGUCAAUUCUUAUCUCCAUGGAUUACAACUAGUAGGGAAAGAAGUCAUACACAGAGAGCUGUAAUAUACACUAUUACAUGAUAAAUGCCCCUUCUUCGCCCAGUGCUCAAGAUCUUCCCUUAGGAGCCAGGUGAAUAUAACAUCCUUGAGGGCAGGAACUAUCUUUUGCCUCUUUAGGUAUCCCAAGAGCUUAGCAUAGUGCCUGGCACAUAGUAGGCACUUAAUAAAUAUUAUUAAUCCA